This 253-nucleotide ribosomal RNA is filed under the name uncultured bacterium. Its description in RNAcentral is "partial 16S ribosomal RNA". It matches the Rfam family "Bacterial small subunit ribosomal RNA", at positions 524 to 776 of the family's 1533-position model. The record is from RNAcentral.
UACGAAGGGUGCUAGCGUUGUUCGGAAUGACUGGGCGUAAAGGGUGCGUAGGCGGCCAGAAACGUCUGAUGUGAAAUCCCUGGGCUUAACCUAGGAACUGCAUUGGAUACGGUCUGGCUAGAGUCCGCGAGAGGAAGAUGGAAUUGUGUGUGUAGAGGUGAAAUUCGUAGAUAUGCACAAGAACACCGGUGGCGAAGGCGAUCUUCUGGAGCGGUACUGACGCUAAGGCACGAAAGCGUGGGGAGCAAACAGG